This 497-nucleotide ribosomal RNA is filed under the name uncultured bacterium. RNAcentral describes it as "partial 16S ribosomal RNA". It matches the Rfam family "Bacterial small subunit ribosomal RNA", at positions 28 to 507 of the family's 1533-position model. The record is from RNAcentral.
GAUGAACGCUGGCGGCGUGCCUAAUACAUGCAAGUCGAGCGAACGGACGAGAAGCUUGCUUUUCUGAUGUUAGCGGCGGACGGGUGAGUAACACGUGGAUAACCUACCUAUAAGACUGGGAUAACUUCGGGAAACCGGAGCUAAUACCGGAUAAUAUUUUGAACCGCAUGGUUCAAAAGUGAAAGACGGUCUUACUGUCACUUAUAGAUGGAUCCGCGCUGCAUUAGCUAGUUGGUAAGGUAACGGCCCACCAAGGCAACGAUGCAUAGCCGACCUGAGAGGGUGAUCGGCCACACUGGAACUGAGACACGGUCCAGACUCCUACGGGAGGCAGCAGUAGGGAAUCUUCCGCAAUGGGCGAAAGCCUGACGGAGCAACGCCGCGUGAGUGAUGAAGGUCUUCGGAUCGUAAAACUCUGUUAUUAGGGAAGAACAUAUGUGUAAGUAACUGUGCACAUCUUGACGGUACCUAAUCAGAAAGCCACGGCUAACUACGUG